GACGUAGGUGGCAAGCGUUGGGAGGAUUUAAGGGGUGUAAAGGGAGCGUAGGCGGAUACUUAAGUGGGAUGUGAAAUACCUGGGCUUAACUUGGGUGCUGCAUUCCAAACUGGGUGUCUAGAGUGUUGGAGAGGAAAGUGGAAUUCCUAGUGUAGCGGUGAAAUGCGUAGAGAUUAGGAAGAACACCAGUGGCGAAGGCGACUUUCUGGACAAUAACUGACGCUGAGGCUCGAAAGCGUGGGGAGCAAACAGGAUUAGAUACCCUGGUAGUCCACGCCGUAAACGAUGGGUACUAGGUGUAGGAGGUAUCGACUCCUCCUGUGCCGCCGUUAACACAAUAAGUACCCCGCCUGGGGAGUACGGUCGCAAGAUUAAA
Molecule: ribosomal RNA, 376 nt
Filed under: uncultured bacterium
Lineage: Bacteria
Description: bacterial SSU rRNA
Rfam family: Bacterial small subunit ribosomal RNA
Source: RNAcentral